Molecule: long non-coding RNA, 106 nt
Organism: Dipodomys spectabilis (banner-tailed kangaroo rat)
Lineage: Eukaryota; Metazoa; Chordata; Mammalia; Rodentia; Heteromyidae
Exons: 2
Source: RefSeq, a predicted model, not a curated record
AGUCAUCAUAUUCCAGUAUUCAGAAGUUGGUUAUAAGUCAUUUGCAGAGUGGCUCAGAGUCUUUAUUGUAUCAUUUGAGUGAACUGAAAGGAAUGGCUUCAUGGAA